GGCCUCGAUACUGUCUGUCGAGCUUGCUCCAGACUUAUCAUAUCCAUAACACCUGUGCACUUGUCGGAUGGCUUACUGAAGACCGCAAGGUUGGAACUAUCCAUCUACUUUACAUAACAAUUUAGUAACAAAUGUAGUCUUAUUAUAACAUAAUAAAACUUUCAACAACGGAUCUCUUGGCUCUCGCAUCGAUGAAGAACGCAGCGAAAUGCGAUAAGUAAUGUGAAUUGCAGAAUUCAGUGAAUCAUCGAAUCUUUGAACGCACCUUGCGCUCCCUGGUAUUCCGGGGAGCAUGCCUGUUUGAGUGUCAUGAAAACCCUCAACCUUAGAUUGGUUAACACCUUUCUUUGGCUUGGAUUUGGACGUUUGCCGAUGAUAAGUCGGCUCGUCUUAAAAGUAAUAGCUGGAUCUGUCUCGCGACAUGGUUUGACUUGGCGUAAUAAGUAUUUCGCUAAGGACAUCUUCGGAUGGCCGCGUUGCAAGACUAAAGACCGCUUUCUAAUCCAUUGAUCUUCGGAUUAAUAUUCUUGACAUCUGGCCUCAAAUCAGGUAGGACUACCCGCUGAACUUAAGCAUAUCAAUAAGCGGAGGAA
RNAcentral lists this ribosomal RNA (593 nucleotides) under Naganishia liquefaciens. Its description in RNAcentral is "eukaryotic LSU rRNA". The stretch from base 157 to 310 matches the Rfam family "5.8S ribosomal RNA". Lineage: Eukaryota; Fungi; Basidiomycota; Tremellomycetes; Filobasidiales; Filobasidiaceae. The record is from RNAcentral.